Molecule: non-coding RNA, 73 nt
Organism: Pangasianodon gigas (Mekong giant catfish)
Lineage: Eukaryota; Metazoa; Chordata; Actinopteri; Siluriformes; Pangasiidae
Source: the annotation of a GenBank genome assembly
UCCCUGGUGGUCUAGUGGCUAAGGAUCCUAUGAUCUCACCACUGCAGCCUGGGUUCGGUUCCCGGGCAGGGAA